Molecule: ribosomal RNA, 472 nt
Filed under: uncultured bacterium
Lineage: Bacteria
Description: bacterial SSU rRNA
Rfam family: Bacterial small subunit ribosomal RNA
Source: RNAcentral
UGGGGAAUAUUGGACAAUGGGGGCAACCCUGAUCCAGCAAUACCGCGUGUGUGAAGAAGGCCUUAGGGUUGUAAAGCACUUUAGGUUGGGAAGAAGACAUGUAGUUUAAGAGAUGACAUGUUUGACUGUACCGACAGAAUAAGCACCGGCUAACUCUGUGCCAGCAGCCGCGGUAAUACAGAGGGUGCAAGCGUUAAUCGGAGUUACUGGGCGUAAAGGGCGCGUAGGUGGUUGUUUAAGUGAGAUGUGAAAUCCCUGGGCUUAACCUAGGAACUGCAUCUUAUACUGGGCAACUGGAGUACUGUAGAGGGUAGUGGAAUUUCCGGUGUAGCGGUGAAAUGCGUAGAGAUCGGAAGGAACACCAGUGGCGAAGGCGGGUACCUGGACAGAUACUGACACUGAGGCGCGAAAGCGUGGGGAGCAAACAGGAUUAGAUACCCCAGUAGUCCCUGAGCGGGCUGGCAAGGCGCAU